Molecule: ribosomal RNA, 497 nt
Filed under: uncultured bacterium
Lineage: Bacteria
Description: partial 16S ribosomal RNA
Rfam family: Bacterial small subunit ribosomal RNA
Source: RNAcentral
GAUGAACGCUGGCGGCGUGCCUAAUACAUGCAAGUCGAGCGAACGGACGAGAAGCUUGCUUCUCUGAUGUUAGCGGCGGACGGGUGAGUAACACGUGGAUAACCUACCUAUAAGACUGGGAUAACUUCGGGAAACCGGAGCUAAUACCGGAUAAUAUUUUGAACCGCAUGGUUCAAAAGUGAAAGACGGUCUUGCUGUCACUUAUAGAUGGAUCCGCGCUGCAUUAGCUAGUUGGUAAGGUAACGGCUUACCAAGGCAACGAUGCAUAGCCGACCUGAGAGGGUGAUCGGCCACACUGGAACUGAGACACGGUCCAGACUCCUACGGGAGGCAGCAGUAGGGAAUCUUCCGCAAUGGGCGAAAGCCUGACGGAGCAACGCCGCGUGAGUGAUGAAGGUCUUCGGAUCGUAAAACUCUGUUAUUAGGGAAGAACAUAUGUGUAAGUAACUGUGCUCAUCUUGACGGUACCUAAUCAGAAAGCCACGGCUAACUACGUG